CAGUGAUGAGGGAAGGAGGACCGCCUCACCGAACUGAAGUAUUUUUCAUUUAUAAGUGAAAUCUGACUUAUCAGUUGAAUUAUAAAAUAAACUCGGUUCCACAGUGGGAAUAAUUGUGUGGUGCAGUGACAGUGCAGAACUUCCAGGACCAUAAGAAUGGAUAUAAGUGAGGAAUUAGGCAGAUAAAUCUAGUGUUUCAUGUAUGCCGCCGUUGUACCAAGAGUUCAGGUGAAUACUCGCCAGUUUUUGUUCCUUGCUGGAACGUGGAUCGCUCUGUCGUGUGCUCCAGACGACGCUGCCAACACCUGAUAGAUAAAGAGGAACCUGCAUACCUGUCUCCCCCCCCACCCCCCCGUCGGCUAUCAGCAACCGCAAGUCAAGACAAUUGCAUAGAUCACAAAGGCCGAAAAAAACGGAUUAUACAACCCAAAGGUAC
Molecule: long non-coding RNA, 436 nt
Organism: Penaeus indicus
Lineage: Eukaryota; Metazoa; Arthropoda; Malacostraca; Decapoda; Penaeidae
Exons: 3
Source: RefSeq, a predicted model, not a curated record